Molecule: ribosomal RNA, 253 nt
Filed under: uncultured bacterium
Lineage: Bacteria
Description: partial 16S ribosomal RNA
Rfam family: Bacterial small subunit ribosomal RNA
Source: RNAcentral
UACGUAGGAUGCAAGCGGUGUCCGGAUUUAUUGGGUUUAAAGGGUGCGUAGGCGGCCUAUUAAGUCAGUGGUGAAAACGUUCGGCUUAACCGGAGACCCGCCAUUGAUACUGAUAGACUUGAGUGCGACAGAGGGUGUUGGAAUGUGUGGUGUAGCGGUGAAAUGCUUAGAUAUCACGCAGAACACCAAUUGCGAAGGCAGAUGACUAUGUCGUAACUGACGCUGAGGCACGAAAGCGUGGGGAGCAAACAGG